This 1138-nucleotide ribosomal RNA is filed under the name 'Rosa canina' phytoplasma. RNAcentral describes it as "bacterial SSU rRNA". It matches the Rfam family "Bacterial small subunit ribosomal RNA", at positions 212 to 1360 of the family's 1533-position model. Lineage: Bacteria; Bacillati; Mycoplasmatota; Mollicutes; Acholeplasmatales; Acholeplasmataceae. The record is from RNAcentral.
GGUAUGCUUAGGGAAGAGCUUGCGUCACAUUAGUUAGUUGGUGGGGUAAUGGCCUACCAAGACGAUGAUGUGUAGCCGGGCUGAGAGGUCGAACGGCCACAUUGGGACUGAGACACGGCCCAAACUCCUACGGGAGGCAGCAGUAAGGAAUUUUCGGCAAUGGAGGAAACUCUGACCGAGCAAUGCCGCGUGAACGAUGAAGUAUUUCGGUACGUAAAGUUCUUUUAUUAGGGAAGAAAAGAUGGUGGAAAAACCAUUAUGACGGUACCUAAUGAAUAAGCCCCGGCUAACUAUGUGCCAGCAGCCGCGGUAAUACAUAGGGGGCAAGCGUUAUCCGGAAUUAUUGGGCGUAAAGGGUGCGUAGGCGGUUAAAUAAGUUUAUGGUCUAAGUGCAACGCUCAACGUUGUGAUGCUAUAAAAACUGUUUAGCUAGAGUUGGAUAGAGGCAAGUGGAAUUCCGUGUGUAGUGGUAAAAUGCGUAAAUAUACGGAGGAACACCAGAAGCGAAGGCGGCUUGCUGGGUCUUAACUGACGCUGAGGCACGAAAGCGUGGGGAGCAAACAGGAUUAGAUACCCUGGUAGUCCACGCCCUAAACGAUGAGUACUAAACGUUGGAUAAAACCAGUGUUGAAGUUAACACAUUAAGUACUCCGCCUGAGUAGUACGUACGCAAGUAUGAAACUUAAAGGAAUUGACGGGACUCCGCACAAGCGGUGGAUCAUGUUGUUUAAUUCGAAGGUACCCGAAAAACCUCACCAGGUCUUGACAUGCUUUUGCAAAGCUGUAGAAAUACAGUGGAGGUUAUCAGAAGCACAGGUGGUGCAUGGUUGUCGUCAGCUCGUGUCGUGAGAUGUUGGGUUAAGUCCCGCAACGAGCGCAACCCUUGUUGUUAAUUGCCAUCAUUAAGUUGGGGACUUUAGCAAGACUGCCAAUGAUAAAUUGGAGGAAGGUGGGGACGACGUCAAAUCAUCAUGCCCCUUAUGACCUGGGCUACAAACGUGAUACAAUGGCUGUUACAAAGGGUAGCUAAAGCGUAAGCUUCUGGUGAAUCUCAAAAAAGCAGUCUCAGUUCGGAUUGAAGUCUGCAACUCGACUUCAUGAAGUUGGAAUCGCUAGUAAUCGCGAAUCAGCAUGUCGC